ACUUAAAUUGAAGAGUUUGAUCAUGGCUCAGAUUGAACGCUGGCGGCAGGCCUAACACAUGCAAGUCGAGCGGUAGCACAGAGAGCUUGCUCUCGGGUGACGAGCGGCGGACGGGUGAGUAAUGUCUGGGAAACUGCCUGAUGGAGGGGGAUAACUACUGGAAACGGUAGCUAAUACCGCAUAAUGUCGCAAGACCAAAGUGGGGGACCUUCGGGCCUCAUG
This 222-nucleotide ribosomal RNA is filed under the name Klebsiella pneumoniae. RNAcentral describes it as "partial 16S ribosomal RNA". It matches the Rfam family "Bacterial small subunit ribosomal RNA", at positions 1 to 217 of the family's 1533-position model. Lineage: Bacteria; Pseudomonadati; Pseudomonadota; Gammaproteobacteria; Enterobacterales; Enterobacteriaceae. The record is from RNAcentral.